AGUCAAGAUUGCUGCUUGAUAUACGUAAAAGAUAAUGGAGCAGCAGUGUAACGUGAAAAAUAGGGUGGUAUCACCUAUCUAGUACUCCACCUUGGAAAUUUCCUAGAAAAAUACAGUCAUAUAAAUAAAUAUUAACUUGGUUUAUACUAUAAUAGUAAUCUGAUUAACCCAACCCUUUUUAACAUUUUUGUCAAGUAGCAUUUAUUCUUUAAGAUAAAACUGAAUGUGCUCUACAAUUUUAAUAUUUACCAUUUGCAAAAUAAUAGAAUUAUAAAACCUUAUACAGAAUUAGAAGUUAAUUUUUCAUGUGAGCAGUAUAAAAUUCAUGCAAACUGCAUGCAGUCUGUGGUCCCAGGAGUCAGCUUCCAUAGCUGCUAGGCUGGGCCUUUGUGCACACAGAAGUAGACACCCCUUUGUUUUGCCCCUCCUUCUCUUCUUCAGCAGUCAUUCAAUGACAAGCGUAAAAAGAACCUCUUUUCCCGAAAAUUUCCCUUCUACAAGAACAAGGACCAGAGUGAGCAGGAAACAAGUGAUGCUGACCGAGAUCCCUGACGACAUGGGAUCAAAAGGCCUGAAGCACGUAACUUCUAAUGCCAGCGAUAGCGAAAGUAGUUACCGU
Molecule: long non-coding RNA, 619 nt
Filed under: Rattus norvegicus (Norway rat)
Lineage: Eukaryota; Metazoa; Chordata; Mammalia; Rodentia; Muridae
Description: long non-coding RNA NONRATT007093
Source: RNAcentral